This 385-nucleotide unclassified non-coding RNA is filed under the name uncultured fungus. RNAcentral's name for it is "sequence contains ITS1". The stretch from base 1 to 107 matches the Rfam family "5.8S ribosomal RNA", at positions 50 to 154 of the family's 154-position model. The record is from RNAcentral. Lineage: Eukaryota; Fungi.
AAAAUGCGAUACUUGGUGGGAAUUGCAAAAUCCCGCGAACCAUCGAGUCUUUGAACGCAAGUUGCGCUCGAAACCAUUAGGCUGAGGGCACGUCUGCCUGGGCAUCUCACGUUGCGUCGCCCGCGCACCCUCACCCCCCCCCCUCGAAGGGGGAGAAGAAGGACUGCGGGCGGAUGCUGGCCCCCUGCGCUUGCCCGCACGCGGUCGGCCCAAAAGUGAGUCCCCCGCGACGGACGAUGCGUCGCGAUGAGUAGUGGUUGACAAACCGUUCUGCCGCCUCGCGCGGGUCCUAGCCGUCUCGGGAGGCCUAUCGUGACCCUAUCACGCCGCCACCAAGGCGCUCCGAUCGCGACCCUAGGUCAGGUGGGAUUCCCACUGAGUUGAA